UACGUAGGGACCAAGCGUUGUUCGGAUUUACUGGGCGUAAAGGGCGCGUAGGCGGCGUGACAAGUCACUUGUGAAAUCUCUGAGCUUAACUCAGAACGGCCAAGUGAAACUGUUGUGCUAGAGUGCGGAAGGGGCAAUCGGAAUUCUUGGUGUAGCGGUGAAAUGCGUAGAUAUCAAGAGGAACACCUGAGGUGAAGACGGGUAGCUGGGCUGACACUGACGCUGAUGCGCGAAAGCCAGGGGAGCAAACGGG
Molecule: ribosomal RNA, 253 nt
Filed under: uncultured bacterium
Lineage: Bacteria
Description: partial 16S ribosomal RNA
Rfam family: Bacterial small subunit ribosomal RNA
Source: RNAcentral